RNAcentral lists this unclassified non-coding RNA (719 nucleotides) under Hevea brasiliensis (rubber tree). The record is from RNAcentral. Lineage: Eukaryota; Viridiplantae; Streptophyta; Magnoliopsida; Malpighiales; Euphorbiaceae.
GGAAAAAUAAGAUCUUGGAAGUCUGUUGCGAUUCUCCAAAUGUUAGAAAAACAGAUGGGACCUGAGUCAUUUCGCAAGAUUCUUCAGCAAAUUGUUGCCCGGGCUCAAGAUGUAAAUCGGUUGUUGAGAACCCUUAGCACAAAAGAGUUCCGGCACCUUGCCAACAAGGUUGGUAAUCUCGAACGCCCAUUUCUUAAAGAAUUCUUUCCGCGUUGGGUCGGAUCGUGUGGCUGUCCGGUGCUGAAGAUGGGAUUCUCAUAUAACAAAAGAAAGAAUAUGGUCGAAUUAGCAAUAUUGAGGGAAUGCACCGCUAGAUUCGACUUAGGUGAUACUAUGAGUAAUGGUAAGCCUGAUUCAGAAAAACAAGAAGGCGAUGGGUGGCCUGGCAUGAUGAGCAUACGGGUGCAUGAGCUUGAUGGCAUGUAUGACCAUCCAAUUCUGCCUAUGACUGGUGAACCCUGGCAGCUGCUUGAAUUUCAGUGUCAUUCUAGACUUGCAGCAAAACGGUUUCAAAAAACCAAAAAGAGUUCUAAACCUGAUGGUUCAGAUGAUAAUGGUGACACUGUGGCUAAUGUAGAUAUGCGUGCAACCUCUGAUUCACCAUUGUUGUGGCUCCGGGCAGAUCCUGAAUUGGAGUAUCUUGCUGAAAUUCAUUUAAAUCAACCGGUCCAGAUGUGGAUAAAUCAAUUGGAGAAGGACAGAGAUGUGGUCGCUCAGGC